AUUGAACGCUGGCGGCAUGCUUUACACAUGCAAGUCGAACGGUAACAGGCCUUCGGGUGCUGGCGAGUGGCGAACGGGUGAGUAAUGCAUCGGAACGUGCCCAAUCGUGGGGGAUAACGUAGCGAAAGUUACGCUAAUACCGCAUAAGCCCUGAGGGGGAAAGGCAGGGGAGUCGCAAGACCUUGCGCGAAUGGAGCGGCCGAUGUCAGAUUAGCUAGUUGGUGGGGUAAAGGCCUACCAAGGCGACGAUCUGUAGCGGGUCUGAGAGGAUGAUCCGCCACACUGGGACUGAGACACGGCCCAGACUCCUACGGGAGGCAGCAGUGGGGAAUUUUGGACAAUGGGCGCAAGCCUGAUCCAGCCAUG
This 366-nucleotide ribosomal RNA is filed under the name uncultured bacterium. RNAcentral describes it as "bacterial SSU rRNA". It matches the Rfam family "Bacterial small subunit ribosomal RNA", at positions 30 to 396 of the family's 1533-position model. The record is from RNAcentral.